GGCUGGUCUGAAGAAACUGAAUUAUGUCAACUGAUGAUUGUGCACAUCCCUUGCAGACUGGAUUCGCUGUGCUACACUUUGCUCUUCUCACUACUGCCCUUGACCAGCCUUUA
RNAcentral lists this Y RNA (113 nucleotides) under Nannospalax galili (Upper Galilee mountains blind mole rat). RNAcentral's name for it is "Y RNA (ENSNGAG00000004404.1)". It matches the Rfam family "Y RNA". From Rfam's summary of the family: Y RNAs are components of the Ro ribonucleoprotein particle (Ro RNP), in association with Ro60 and La proteins. The Y RNAs and Ro60 and La proteins are well conserved, but the function of the Ro RNP is not known. The record is from Rfam by way of RNAcentral. Lineage: Eukaryota; Metazoa; Chordata; Mammalia; Rodentia; Spalacidae.